UACGGAGGGAGCUAGCGUUGUUCGGAAUUACUGGGCGUAAAGCGCGCGUAGGCGGCUUUGUAAGUUAGAGGUGAAAGCCCGGAGCUCAACUCCGGAACUGCCUUUAAAACUGCAUCGCUUGAAUCCAGGAGAGGUGAGUGGAAUUCCGAGUGUAGAGGUGAAAUUCGUAGAUAUUCGGAAGAACACCAGUGGCGAAGGCGGCUCACUGGCCCGGUACUGACGCUGAUGUGCGAAAGCGUGGGGAGCAAACAGG
Molecule: ribosomal RNA, 253 nt
Filed under: uncultured bacterium
Lineage: Bacteria
Description: partial 16S ribosomal RNA
Rfam family: Bacterial small subunit ribosomal RNA
Source: RNAcentral